CUAAGGUAGCAUAGUCAUUUGUUAUUUAAUUGAUAACUGGAAUGAAAGGUUAAACUAGCUUAUUAGGUUUGUAACACUAAAUAGAAGCUUAAAGUUAAGGUAAAAAUUCUUUAAUUUUCUAGGGGACGAUAAGACCCUAGAAGCUUGAUAAGUGGAGUGGUUAGUUUUAGAAAUCUUUUUGUUUUACUGGGGCGGUAAAAAUAAUUAAACUAUUUAUUAUUUAAAGGAUCCUUAAAAUAAAGAUAGAAUGGGUAAGUUACUCUAGGGAUAA
RNAcentral lists this ribosomal RNA (271 nucleotides) under Gammarus balcanicus. Its description in RNAcentral is "partial 16S ribosomal RNA". Lineage: Eukaryota; Metazoa; Arthropoda; Malacostraca; Amphipoda; Gammaridae. The record is from RNAcentral.